This 28-nucleotide small RNA is filed under the name Bombyx mori (domestic silkworm). RNAcentral describes it as "ovarian small RNA-25057". Lineage: Eukaryota; Metazoa; Arthropoda; Insecta; Lepidoptera; Bombycidae. The record is from RNAcentral.
UCACAUCAGGCACAGUUACAGGGGGUUC